GAGAAAAUGUCAAAAUUUGUCAUUUAAUUAUCACAUACAUUUUUUUCAUUCAUUAUCUAUAUAGUGUAUUUCUCAAACAGGAAAGUGCACUUUCUACUCUUCCCACUAAAUCCCACAUCAUCAUGAUGAUAUAUAUAUAUAUAAGCAUGUCAGCCCUCAGGCUAUGUGACCCCCACAGCAGAGCUAUCUAAUUCUGAAUGGAACAUAAUGUAAAAUAAAUGAAUGAGUUAUAAAUAUUAAAUAAUAAUAUGAAUAAAUAUUCUUUAUUUAGUUUGUUCUUUAUUCUCAAUUCUUUUUUUUUUAUCAAUAAUCCCAUUAUUCUCUAUGAUUCUUUAUUCCAUAUUUCUGCUUUUUUUAGUAUCUGUUCUUUAUUUUUUUUUUCUUUAUUUUGCACUUUUUAUCAUUAUUUUCUAUAUUCUUAAACCCCAAUCUUGAUUCCAGACCAUCAUAUAUAUAUAUAUAUAUAUACGUAAAUGUACGAAAGCUUGCAUGGUGCGUCGAAUACGGAAACCCGGAAAUCUUUUCACCGUUACCAUUUUUUAUUUUAUGACGCAAAAUCCAUGGACGCUCACGCGAUCGCUGUUGUCAUUUAAAAAGUUUGAAUGGACAGAGAUAAGAUGAUACAAAGAACUUUAGUUUUUCAAAAUGGUGAAUCAAAAUUUAUUAUAAGCAGAUAAAUUGAAAUGGGUGACUUGUCGAUUAACUGGAAGAAACCGGGGAACGAAACAUAGAAAAUUUAUAGAAAGUCAACGCAACGAAACAGCGAAAGUGAUUUUGUUUUGAUGGAUAGUUUUACGUACCCUAAAAGCAGUACGAAAGCAUUUUCAAUGAAAGUACAUUUUGUACUUCAAGAAGUAGAAGAAUCUAAGCAACAGAACAGAAUUCAUUUGAGGCAUUGGUUUCUAGAUUAUAUAAUGGAUUCAUAGAUUGUCAUAUUGAUUUAUGUGCAUAUAAGGAGCAGCAGGCAAUAAUUAUUUUGUGAUGAGAGCUUGUUACCAUGGUUACCAAAUGAAAGGAAAGUACAGUAUUAAAAUCACUGGUGUACAUGUAGGUGCGGAUGUCAGGCAAAAAGAACUGGUAUCAAAGAACUGAAAAGUAAAGAAACAGAACCAAAGAACAUUAGUUUUUAAUUAAUACAAUAUUGAGCUCAAAGUCAAUCUAGUUGUCUUUCUUAAUCAUACAGGAUAUUUCCAAAAAGCAGCUGCAUACACAUGCACCAGUAUUAGCCAGCAGUGUAGACAAUUACAUAUCUGUGUAUGGUGAUAUAGCAAUAGAAAUAUCUCAUACAUCAUUGGAAAAUAUAGUAUAGACAAUAGAAAUGGAGUACACAUGUAUGUCAAAGAGACACACAUAUGAAAAUAUAAUAUAGACAAUAGAAAUGGAGUAUGUCAAAGAGACAAACAUAUGAAAAUAUAAUAUAGACAAUAGAAAUGGGGUAUGUCAAAGAGACACACAUAUGAAAAUAGAAUAUAGACAAUAGAAAUAUGGUACAAUGUAUGUCAAAGAGACAAAAAUAUGAAAUAGAAGAGACAACAACUUAAUAAAAAAAGUUCUACUUUAUAUAAAAAUUAUGGAGCACUUAUUGUUUUUUAUUUGUUUGAGCUUUUGAUUUUGCCAUGUAUUUUCUGUGGAAUUUGGUAUUUUGGGUUUUUUACUUUUUAAAGCAACAACUCAUCACAAUGAAGUAUUUACACUCAAAAUGAGUUCCUGACAGAAAAAAAAGAUGACAAAUUAAAGAAAAACAUAUUAAAAAACAUCAAAACAUUACCCUUAAAAACCUAUCGCAAAAAAAAAUACAUAUAUAUAAAAACCAUGUUAAGAAUCUAUGAGAAAAUAAAUGCAUUUGAACAAUUAAAAACAUAUAAAAAAUAAAUAUAUUUAAGACCAAGAUAAAAUCAUAUGAAAACAUAUGUUUGGGCCAAACAUAUGAAAACAUAUGUUUAGGACAAACAUAUGAAAACAUAUGUUUAGGCCAGGUAUGAAAACAUAUGAAAAACAUAUGUUUGUAAAAAACAUAUGAAAAACAUAUGUUUUUCAUAUGUUUACAUGUAUGAAAAACAUAUGUUU
Long non-coding RNA from Mytilus californianus (California mussel), 2067 nucleotides. RefSeq lists it as uncharacterized. Lineage: Eukaryota; Metazoa; Mollusca; Bivalvia; Mytilida; Mytilidae. The record is from RefSeq and is a predicted model, not a curated record. The transcript is spliced from 4 exons.